Molecule: transfer RNA, 85 nt
Filed under: compost metagenome
Description: tRNA-Leu
Rfam family: tRNA
About the family: Transfer RNA (tRNA) molecules are approximately 80 nucleotides in length. Their secondary structure includes four short double-helical elements and three loops (D, anti-codon, and T loops). Further hydrogen bonds mediate the characteristic L-shaped molecular structure. tRNAs have two regions of fundamental functional importance: the anti-codon, which is responsible for specific mRNA codon recognition, and the 3' end, to which the tRNAs corresponding amino acid is attached (by aminoacyl-tRNA synthetases). tRNAs cope with the degeneracy of the genetic code in two manners: having more than one tRNA (with a specific anti-codon) for a particular amino acid; and 'wobble' base-pairing, i.e. permitting non-standard base-pairing at the 3rd anti-codon position.
Source: RNAcentral
UGCCGAGGUGAUGGAAUGGCAGACAUAGAGGACUUAAAAUCCUCUGACCGUUAGGUCGUGCGGGUUCAAGUCCCGUCUUCGGUAU